This 252-nucleotide ribosomal RNA is filed under the name uncultured bacterium. RNAcentral's name for it is "partial 16S ribosomal RNA". It matches the Rfam family "Bacterial small subunit ribosomal RNA", at positions 524 to 776 of the family's 1533-position model. The record is from RNAcentral.
UACGGAGGAUGCGAGCGUUAUCCGGAUUUAUUGGGUUUAAAGGGUGCGUAGGCGGACGCUUAAGUCAGCGGUAAAAUUGCGGGGCUCAACCUCUUCCCGCCGUUGAAACUGGUGGUCUUGAGUGGAUGAGAAGUACGCGGAAUGCGUGGUGUAGCGGUGAAAUGCAUAGAUAUCACGCAGAACUCCGAUUGCGAAGGCAGCGUACCGGCAUCCAACUGACGCUGAGGCACGAAAGCGUGGGGAUCAAACAGG